This 280-nucleotide ribosomal RNA is filed under the name Roseburia faecis M72/1. Its description in RNAcentral is "partial 16S ribosomal RNA". It matches the Rfam family "Bacterial small subunit ribosomal RNA", at positions 524 to 804 of the family's 1533-position model. The record is from RNAcentral. Lineage: Bacteria; Bacillati; Bacillota; Clostridia; Lachnospirales; Lachnospiraceae.
UACGUAUGGUGCAAGCGUUAUCCGGAUUUACUGGGUGUAAAGGGAGCGCAGGCGGUGCGGCAAGUCUGAUGUGAAAGCCCGGGGCUCAACCCCGGUACUGCAUUGGAAACUGUCGUACUAGAGUGUCGGAGGGGUAAGCGGAAUUCCUAGUGUAGCGGUGAAAUGCGUAGAUAUUAGGAGGAACACCAGUGGCGAAGGCGGCUUACUGGACGAUAACUGACGCUGAGGCUCGAAAGCGUGGGGAGCAAACAGGAUUAGAUACCCCGGUAGUCCCACUACU